This is a long non-coding RNA of Nothobranchius furzeri (turquoise killifish), 5350 nucleotides long. The record is from Ensembl. NCBI's taxonomy places the organism in Eukaryota, Metazoa, Chordata, Actinopteri, Cyprinodontiformes, Nothobranchiidae.
AUGGUGAAGUGGAGGAGUGACCUAGAGGACAAGACCACGUCAGAAGGAGAGAAAACACGCACAGUCACUGCACAAGGAAUCAGUUCCGGAGGCCGUACGCCUCCUCCUGCACCCCGGCAGAGGCGGUUGAACAUACAUAGGCUUACUGGCUCUCCUAUGAGACAGAAGGUGUACCAUGAACAGAUCGGCAGACUCGACACCGGGGGUGCCAGACCGUCGUUACCUGAGGACGAAUCAGUCAUCAGUUCAGCUGGAGCAGAGAUUUGGUCUACUUCUUGUAAAUCAGAGUCAGAUGACUUGUUAUCUGGCUGCAGUGUUUCUCCCACAUCUGGAAGCAGAUCAGCAGAAAAAAGGGUUAAAACCUUUCCAAAAUAGGAAUCAUUCUCUAUAGCCUGGACGCUGUCAUCCAGAUUCUGGAGUUUCUCAUUUAUAUUGGAGAGUUGCUGCUGAAUGUGUCCCUUCUUUUCAGUUAGAAAAUCCAUCAAAAGUGUAUCUCUAUCUACAGCCAUCUUGGAGAUGCCACAGAAUGCUUAAUUUUGUUUUAAAUGAACCCUUUAGGCGCCAUAGUUUUUUCAGUAAAAUAUGAAUUUUUUAUAUCACUAUUUAAUGAGCUUGUAGCUUAAAUCUGGUUAGAGAUAGAGGAAUUAGAGCCCUGCACGGGCCUAAAAUCUGAGCCUGUGUCCGGCCCGGCCCGAGGGGGUGGAGCCCCGGCCCGGCCCGGUCCGAAAAGGUUUUCAGGAUUCUCUGGCCCGACCCGAGCCCGACAUUUUUUAACCAACUAAAUGAAAACAAAGUGCGUCAAUCCUGACCAAUGUGUUAAAAGACGUGCAGGAUCCGAUCAAUUUGUUUUACCCUCAUUUACCGUCACGGAGAUGACGGCGCACUGGCUCUGGUGGUAAUCAAGUUAAAUUUUAUCUCUUUCCAACAAUUUUCACAAGAAAUCAAAACAGUUAAAAGCAGGGCUUGUGUUGUGUUGACCGGAUAGUUCCCGAUUUGACCGUUUAUUUUGACGGAGAAAGAAUAGAAAGAAUUACCCCGACGCAUGCAGACGAACUGACAUUUUAUUCGUUACGCACAUUGCAAAUGUAGCUAAAUCACCCAAGAAAAGAUUCCCAUCUGAACAUCUGAGCUGGACACUGCUCAGCGCAGCUCGCUGUCAGCGCAUAUGUGCACAGCAAGCUAAAGUUCUGUUCAGGUUUACGCAGACAAUCUUUACAUAGAAUUGACUUACAGAUUUGGGUUGGUGCCCUCGGACUACGUGAGGCUCUGCAAUGCUGCUGCUUUGGGCCCUGGCAAGAUGGGCUGGGGUCUCCAUGCCCUGGGUGGCAUUUUGACAACAGAGGUGCCUAUUGGGGCCAGUGGGGGAGCUGGCUCCCUGGAGGGCUAAGUGCAACCAGCCAUUCCUCCCCAUUCCCGCAUAUUUUUCUCCUCCUGCUCCCUCACAUCAUCACACAAACAUGCACAUAAGGACCUUGGGGGGUGGACAAGUCAGGGAGUGCGGGUAUGGACUCCAUUUCCGCAUUCCUGUGGUAACCUGCCCCCCUAUUUUAUCUGCACUUUAAACACUUCCACCAACGUCAUUCCACGCAAGCACACACUUAGGGCCUUGGGAGUGAGCACAUUCAACGGCAGUUGGCAGGGGGAUUUCUCAGCCUCAUCAUGGGUGCCGGUACUCACUUCCAAAUUUAAACCGCACUUAGACACAGAGGGCUGUGGGUGCAAGUGCGGUGGUGUGGUGGCAUCAGCUGGCAGAGGCCAGGCAAUGCCCGCACUGCCCGCUCACCACAGCCAUGGAAUACACCUCAUCAACACACAACACUAUAUUGGAGCAGGCGGAGGGAGACUAGGGGUCUUAGCACACCUCUGUUGUUGCUUGGCUUCCUGGGGCUGGAGGCUAGGAGGGAGAUCUGGCCGUCUGGUUGGGGCCUGGGGUGGUGGGUUGCUGUGCUCAGCGUUGGGCGGGGGAGCCUGCUCAUCAGCACCCCAGCAGAAAGGGUCGAACUCUGGGAACCGGUAAUGGUUGUACCCCAUGUGCAGCAGUACCGGGACCAGAGUGAAUAGGGUGUGUAUGGGGAGCAUGAAUGGGUGUCCGGCAUGCAUUUUUGUAAGUCUUUGGUUGUAUGUGCAUGUAUGAGCAUGAGGGAGGGAGUGUGUGACUGUGUUUGUGUAUGGCUGGAUAUGUCAGGUGGGGCCUUUGACUCCUCUCUUCUCCUGGGCCUUCUUUUGAUGAUAUAGAUCUUCGUCUCAGCUCCCCCUGCCACACCUGGUGUGGAGUGUGGUGCCUUGGUCUACCUGAAUGUUCGUGGCUCCCGGGUCAGGGGGUUUAACAUUUUUGGCAUCUGCCUGAUCAAUUCCGGUGGCUGUCUGGUGGGGUCUGGGUCCCUGGGCUCUGCUGGGUCCCCAGCGGGGAUGGUCACCCCUGGGUCACUGGGUCCCGGGCUUGGCCAGCUAGGGGGUGGGAGGUUACGGGCGGGCCUGUGGGCUUGCCGCUGAUAUCUCCCGGGACUCUGACGGCUGCUGGUUGUGGCCCCCCGGGGCGAUCCUCUGUGCCUCUCGAGGGGGGCGGGGGCCUUUCUGGUUGCAGUCUCCUUGGGGUUCCUGUGUUCUGGGGCAGCUCCUGGAUCUCUGGGACUUGGAGCUCCCCCCGUCUCCUACACAUCUUUGGGGGGCAGAUCUGUGGUCCCUCACGCUCUCUAUUGGACGCUUUUAUAGAGAAACCUUACAUAAACAAGCGCGUGUACAUACACAGGUGCUCACAUGGUACUCUCAUAAGUAUGGACUUGGGCACGUUCAACACACGUCUUAAGGCUGUCGUUGUCACUAAAUGCACUAUGAUUUAUUAUCGUGUGAUUGUUCAGUUAAACAAUGUUGAUUUUAUAUUUCAUCAUCAGGCUGACGCAGUGAUAGCUUGCUCCUGAUGUAUUGUUGUGUGUCCCAUUUUUUUCUAUUCUUUCUCUUUCUACAGGUCUAGAGGCAGACUCUUGUUCAUUAUUGUUUAUUUUUGUGGAAACCCCCCUUUCCCCCACCUUUUGUCUUUUCCUUUCUCUUUCACCUCUGUCUCCGUGUCUGGUCGGAAUCACAAAGCAUUCAAAAACAAUAACAAUAAAGUUUUAAGUAUCAGGCGUGACAUUAAAAGCAGAAGCUUUGAUGCUCCACCUGAGAUUAAAUUCCUGAGAUUAAAUCUGUAAGGCUUGUUACCAGCAUUCAGACAUCAAUUCUGUUUGCUUCACAGCCGAACAGGACACAGAGAAAAUAAAACAAAUAAAAAAAUUAAAAAAAUGAGCUUGUAUCCAGAGAAGCAAGUCUGAGUGGGAGAUGAUGUUUUGCUCCUAACUGUGAUCAGAGUUUGACCGGAGUAGUUUCAUAAACACUAGGCGCCUUAUUUGUCGCAUCCACACAUACUCUCAGUGAGACCUCUGUACAGAUCCGGAGUGCCAGGUCCAUGGACCCUCCUCUGGUACUGGAGCUGAUGGAACAGCGUCGACAGCAUGACAAACCAGUCUUUGGAUCGUCUUCAGGUAAAAAGCGAAAGGUGGUUCUUAGCGUCAAAAGGGGACCCUGCUUGGGUCAGUGAGUUCAGCUUUUAUUCUGAAAGGAACCAUUGCUUGGUUGGUAAAAUGCAACAGCUUUUCCAGCUUGGUGGUUCUCAGCUUAAAAAGGGAAGUCCGGAUGGCCGGUCUGAUACUCCGCUUAGCAUGCGGUGAACUCCAGUGAGAUCUUGAGAACUGAACUAAGAUGGUGUUGGAAUUGGUUUUAUUAAUCUGGAUGUUUUGAAUUCUGGUCGAAUCAAAGCUGGCAGAUUUAUAAACACCACAGAGACUAUGCCACGCUUCAGACUAGGAAGGUUCUGAUUGGAUCAGUACAGCAAUGUGUCAUGCGUUGUUUACAUUACGUGCGUCAGUGUGUCUAGUGAAACAGAUUGUCAUAUUACUUAUUAUAACAUAUUAAUCAUAACAUUAUGAUUUCACAGAUCGGUCACAUUAUAUUAUUGACUAAGGGUUAGUUGAAAAUCAAAAUUUACUAUUUUAGGUUGAACAAGAAUUAGUGAGAAGACACGAAAACGCUGAAUUUUCUAAACUAUGAACAUGAAGGAAGAAAAACUUGAAAAACCAUAACUAUGAUCAGAGCAGAUGUCACCCUUGUCCACCUACUAAACUUACACUUGAGGAACAACACCAGGUUCACAUAUUAAAGCAUUUCAGAGUUUCACAUUUUAUGCUGCAAACCUCUAAAGACUAUAAACCCCAACACCACCGUGUUUUAUGGGAACCUUUGGAAAAGAAAAAUGGCACAAGCAGUUUCUCUGUAAAUAUUAACAUUUAUUUAAGUAUACAAUUUAGUAUUUCCACUCUUUGCCCACCUGAUCCUAUUCACAGGUUUCACAUCAGUAUUUGGGCUUCUCUGUGCAGCAUUAAGCCUCGCUUGAGGGCAGUAAAAACAGAAAAGACAGUUAAAACAAGCCAAGUUUUCUUUUUUUUAUACCACUAACAAACAGAAAAGUCACAGGCAACAUCAAACCUGCCAAGCUGCUGGAAAUGCCACAUUUGGUUUGUUAUUUGCUUUUUUCAUCAUUUAGACUAAGGAGGCAUUUAUAGUUGCAUUGCAUAAAUCAUAUGUAGUUAAUGAGAAAAAAUGAUGCUGAUUUUAUUCUCGUCAUGCGAGUCUGAUGAUAUAAAACGAUGCAACAAAGUCCCAUCUCAGGUGAGACCUCCUUCAUGUAACAGACUGAAUAAAUGAAAUCAUUAAACUUAGACGAUCAAAUAAAAACUAGCACAAACAAAUGCACACAGAAAUAAAACAGAAGGAGAACAAACAAACUAACAGAGGCUGUGUGCAAAUACGUUUAAUCACAUCAAAAUAAGAGUUGGAGAUCCACGUAAGGUGACGGAGCAGCCGCAUUUUGGUCUUUGAAUAAACAACACUGUAACAUUACUAAACUACACUUUCAUUAAGAAGAGUUAGAAAAUAAGGUGGUAAGAAAAUAGUGUUAUUUAUGAGUCUUAUAUAUCCUGCCUGUCCGCUUGCUUAAGUCUCCUUUUAAAGUUUCUCAAACAAGGAAUAAAAUGUAACAGAAAUAUUUUCUGAGAAACUCCUACACAUUGUUUUUAUUUAUUAUUAUUACUGUGGGACAGAUAGCUUUCUGCUAGUGAUGCGUUUAAGUGCUUCCAAUGACACGAUGCAAGUGGAGCAGCUGUUACCAUGACGACGUGUAGAAACAGAACAGUUUAACGGAUGAGGUAUUGCACAGAUUAUUCCGUAAAAUCAUAGAAAAGCAAAAUAAAUAUACAACUAAUUCAUACAACAUUUACAUGACGGCUGUAGUCUGGAAGAGUUUUAGUGUCGGCGAUCG